GACGAACGCUGGCGGCGUGCUUAAUACAUGCAAGUCGAGCGAGGCCUUGGAAUUGGAGUCCCUUCGGGAUGAAGAGUCCUUGGCCUAGCGGCGGACGGGUGAGUAACGCGUGGGCAACCUACCCCAAAGUCCGGGAUAACAGUGGGAAACCGCUGCUAAUACCGGAUGACUUUACCUGAGGGCAUCCUUGGGUAAAGAAAGGUUACGCUUUGGGAUGGGCCCGCGUCCCAUUAGCUAGUUGGUGAGGUAACGGCUCACCAAGGCGACGAUGGGUAGCCGGCCUGAGAGGGUGAACGGCCACACUGGGACUGAGACACGGCCCAGACUCCUACCGGGAGGCAGCAGUAGGGAAUAUUGCGCAAUGGGCGGAAGCCUGACGCAGCGACGCCGCGUGAGCGAAGAAGGCCUUCGGGUCGUAAAGCUCUGUCCUUGGGGUAAGAAGGCGAAAGCUUGACGGUACCCAAGAAGAAAGCCCCGGCUAAACCUACGUAG
This 492-nucleotide ribosomal RNA is filed under the name uncultured bacterium. Its description in RNAcentral is "bacterial SSU rRNA". It matches the Rfam family "Bacterial small subunit ribosomal RNA", at positions 28 to 510 of the family's 1533-position model. The record is from RNAcentral.